Molecule: long non-coding RNA, 1512 nt
Organism: Piliocolobus tephrosceles (Ugandan red Colobus)
Lineage: Eukaryota; Metazoa; Chordata; Mammalia; Primates; Cercopithecidae
Exons: 3
Source: RefSeq, a predicted model, not a curated record
GUCUCGAACUUCUGGCCUCAAGUGAUUUGCUUACCUUGGCCUCCGGAGUGCUGGGAUUACAGGCAUGAGCCACUGCGCCCGGCCUGUCCACUUCUCAGUGUCACCUUGAGAAUACUAUUUCUGAGGAGAAGCACCUCUACAUGUGCCCAGAAAGACUGGAACAGCUACGCAUUAAAUGUUAGGGGUCUGGGUGGGGCCUGUCUCUGCCGUGUGUGUGUGUGUGUUUGUGUGUGUGUGUUACACAUGUGCUCUUGGAUGUGACAGCCAUGUCCUGUUCUUGUUUACACAUAACAGUUUGCCACGUGUCAAGUGGGAGCUGAAGGAUGUGCUGCACCCGUUCCUGGACCUGGGAUACACAGGAAGGUGCAGCAAGCGUUCUUUUCGGAAGUUCUACAAUCACCGUGAUUGGUUUUAUGUGGACAAAUAUAAAAAAGAAGGCCUAGCUUCCCUCUCCGUAGUGGUGUCGGGUGAAGGCAGGGGUCUGGGUCGGCUCCUGGUCGACCUUGCCUGCUACGUGGGCUGGUCCCACCUCCCCCACCGCAACGCCCCCGGCACCCCGGGUCCCCAAUUCCAGGCCACAGCUGUGGAGCCAUUAGCGGGCUGCGCGUUGCGCAGGUACCGACUCGCGCCGGGAGGGGGCGCUGUUCCCUAACCUGUUCCGAGUCGGCCCCGGGUCCUGACACCGCCCGCGCGCGUUCACGCUGCAGGUGCGGAGUUCUCGCAGUGGGCUCGGGAUGGGCAGAAUCGGCCGUCCUCGCAGCCCGCCGCCCGGGGCGACCCGCGGCCCCCACCUGCCACCGCACUCGGGAGGGUCAGACCGCACGCAGGUCAGACCUCCAUUCUUCCUGAUGAAAUAAUGAAGACGCUGUCAUCCUGAGGGUUGAUACUGUACCCACAGGCUGUGGGAAGGACAUCACAAACGCAGGCAGAGGGCCUGCCACAGGCACUGAGAGCCUGCUCAGCAAAGAGAAAAUACACUGCAGCGAGGCGGGACCUUCUAGCCAGGACUCCGUGGCCCCGGCUCUCCUCUCCAGUCACAAUGGGACAGGCUCCCCAGCCUCAGGGGAGCUGAGUGGGUGCUGAGCUGAGCCCUGAGCUGGGCCCAGAGACGACCUCCUGACCUCGCCAGCCCCAGGGCAUCAGUGUCUGGAUCCUUGUGAGCAUCCUAGGAUGGCCUGGGGGUGAAAGGGGAACCCCUAUUGAAUUGUCUGGGGCAUGCGGUUGCGUCUGUCACCCCUGAUUUCAUCUAAACUGUGCCUGUAUCUGGGAGGUUUUACGGAGACUAGUGGGGACAAUGGGGGAUCAAAGCAGCCGCACUGGAACGGGACUUCCCUAACCUACCCACCACCCAUAUCUGGGAGAACCUCUGGGAAACCAGUGAGGUCUCAGGCAGAAAGUCAGCCAGUUCUUGGCACAAGAGUGCCUAGAAAUGUAAAGAUGGAUACAUUCAUUAUUUCAACAAACCUGCAUUGAAUCUGAAAGGCCUGGGAAUAAAACUCAGGCAAGAGCAAA